AACGAACGCUGGCGGCAUGCCUAACACAUGCAAGUCGAACGAGACCUUCGGGUCUAGUGGCGCACGGGUGCGUAACGCGUGGGAAUCUGCCCUUUGCUUCGGAAUAACAGUUAGAAAUGACUGCUAAUACCGGAUGAUGUCUUCGGACCAAAGAUUUAUCGGCAAAGGAUGAGCCCGCGUAGGAUUAGGUAGUUGGUGGGGUAAAGGCCUACCAAGCCGACGAUCCUUAGCUGGUCUGAGAGGAUGAUCAGCCACACUGGGACUGAGACACGGCCCAGACUCCUACGGGAGGCAGCAGUGGGGAAUAUUGGACAAUGGGCGAAAGCCUGAUCCAGCAAUGCCGCGUGAGUGAUGAAGGCCUCGGUCGUAAGCUCUUUACCAGGGAUGAUAAUGACAGUACCUGGAGAAUAAGACUCCGGCGUAACUCCGUAGCCAGCA
This 438-nucleotide ribosomal RNA is filed under the name uncultured bacterium. Its description in RNAcentral is "bacterial SSU rRNA". It matches the Rfam family "Bacterial small subunit ribosomal RNA", at positions 29 to 513 of the family's 1533-position model. The record is from RNAcentral.